Molecule: long non-coding RNA, 707 nt
Organism: Vigna unguiculata (cowpea)
Lineage: Eukaryota; Viridiplantae; Streptophyta; Magnoliopsida; Fabales; Fabaceae
Source: RefSeq, a predicted model, not a curated record
CUCGUGUCGAAAGUCUACUGUUAGGAGAGUAAUAUGAGACGCCAAUGCUUUAGGAUUAUUCUUUUUUUCUCUUCCUUCGACGCAAAAACACACACAAGGCAUAGCAAUCAUCAUGUUCUCUCCCCUCUGCUUGCCUUCAUCAUUAGAGGCUGGCUUUCAUCAUCACCACCGCAUCUUUUACCUCCCACCAACCGCACCAAAGCCAUCAUCCUCCGCCUCUAACAUCGCCACAACAAGAAAGAGAAAGAAGGAGAGAGAGAAGGGUUAGAAGGCGAAGAAGAUGGCUUCACUCAAGAAGAAGAAACCCUACCCGCUUCCAUUUCCUUUCCACUGCAACCCUCUACUCUUCUGAUCCAAGGGUCCUCUUCUUCUUCCAACCUUCUCAUGCAUGCUACUUUCUUCUCUUCUCCGGGAAUUGAAGCGUCGCGGUCCGAUUGUUUGCUAGAUCAAGCAAAUUAACCUACAUAUACUGUGAGCAGUGUCACUUUGUGCCUUCUUGUAAAUUCGAGGUGGAGACUGAGCUAUGCUGUUGCUUCAAUUCAAGUUUCUGAAUACAGUUGGUGGUAUAGAUCUGGAUUUCCUUAUAUAUGUAUGAUAAUAAAUGUUGUUCUUCAUGAGAAUAACACAUGUUUGAUUGUUCCAAACUAUGUUACUUUGUGUAUUGUUAUAAGUUUUAGACUUUAAUGUUAAUGACCCCAGUCAUCAUC